CUGCGCCGCUCUUCUCAGUACCCAUCCCGCAGACAGGAAAUGACGCAAUACCGCCGCUCUCAGUCCCCUCAGACCGGAAAUGUCGUCAACCCUUGCGACGAAAACAAGUUACGUUAUUUCACCUCUCGCGAAGAAAACACGGUAAGUGGCCGCACUGAAAAAAAGUUUUUAAAAGCGUAUGCAUGUUUAAAAAUGUUAAAUAGUUAAACAACACUUGCGGUGAAAAUAUGAAGUGUUUAUUCUGAGUUGAAAAGACCGUACUUAUAUCUAGUAUUCUUAAUGUAAUUUAAAUAAUGUAUUCCUUUACUAACUGCAUGUGACUUUGCUCUACUUAUAUUGUUUAAUACGUACUGAUGAAUUCAGCAGCGAAUUGGCUAAUGCUGCUAAUGCUUUUUACAUUUUUUUUUCACAAUGAACAGUCUUCUUUGUGUAGUUUUCAUUAUAUUGCACUCUUAUUUUUCAUUAUGUACAUGCCUGCAAUUCGCAGCUCGCUGUUUUUGUUGUUGUAUGGUGUUGUUGUUUUGCCUUCAUUUGUUUUGUCUGGUCCUUUGUCGUUUGAAUGUUGUCACAUGAUCCAAAUAGGACAAGCUCCAAGAUCACCACCCCAUUGGGAAGAAACUAAAUCACGACCCCCAAAUGGUAGUCUUCCCAUGCAGAUACAGGGAUGUCACACAGAUCCAAAUGGAAACAUCGAACACAGUAAAACCCACGUGGCAGACAGGACCAAUGGUGACAAUAUAAGACGAUGCCGAGCUUCAUGGACGGUUCAAACUCAUCCUGCCCAGGAACGGCUGAAAACGUUGACAGUCAAUCAACAGGGGGACAUGGAAAGAGAGGAUUGGAAGUGAAAUAGAGGGUUUUCCGGGACAGCCAUAGGGGAAGGACUGUGGCAUCUUCAUGUUGAUGACUGAUAUGCCAACUCUGAGGAAGUGGUGGUGUAUAUUGCUAGCGGACAAUUUCAAACUUGGGUGCAUGCCACAGGAAAGAGUUUGCCCAUUGGACAGAUGAGGCAAAAGCAUUACUGCAGGGUGAAGUGCCACCAGUCUAUCAGUUACAGAAGUGAAAUUUGAAUAUAAUUGCUGAGGAAGAGGUGCAACCACAGCUCCUUCAAGUUAGUGGUGGCCCACUCAAAAAAGAUAUGGCGGGGAAAAAAUUUUUUGGUAAAAGGAUUGUGCAAGACAGCACAAAAGCCUCGGACAGGGCUAGGGGGGGAAAAAAAUCAAUGCAGUAGGAGUUCCCAAGCAUCCUGCAGAUGGAAGAGGAUGAGCACGAACUACAAUGUCUUGGAGCCAUUCAAGUUCUGUUUCAACCAUCUGGAAGAUGGAUUUACCUUUUUUGAGGAGAUUGUUGACUAAAGAAAAUAUCUAUUCUCUCAAUAAUAAUAAAAAAUAAUAAAACUAAAAAAAUAAAGUUUACCACAUCAGAACUGGUUGUAUUGAGUUCAUUUUUCUACACUUA
Molecule: long non-coding RNA, 1458 nt
Organism: Corythoichthys intestinalis (scribbled pipefish)
Lineage: Eukaryota; Metazoa; Chordata; Actinopteri; Syngnathiformes; Syngnathidae
Exons: 9
Source: RefSeq, a predicted model, not a curated record